GCAUGGACGAAUUCUGUAUUACUUUGCUAUAGUAAAUGCAGUCAGACACCAUGCUAAAGUAUACUUCAUGCUAACCUUUAGUCAGAUCGAUGGCGUGUGUCUUUGGUCUUGUGUUAGUGCGAAUACAAAG
Molecule: small nucleolar RNA, 130 nt
Filed under: Neogobius melanostomus (round goby)
Lineage: Eukaryota; Metazoa; Chordata; Actinopteri; Gobiiformes; Gobiidae
Description: Small nucleolar RNA SNORA15 (ENSNMLG00000009986.1)
Rfam family: Small nucleolar RNA SNORA15
About the family: ACA15 is a member of the H/ACA class of snoRNA that guide the sites of modification of uridines to pseudouridines.
Source: Rfam by way of RNAcentral